CAGCAGCCGCGGUAAUACGAAGGGUGCAAGCGUUAAUCGGAAUUACUGGGCGUAAAGCGUGCGUAGGCGGUGAGUUAAGUCUGCUGUGAAAUCCCCGGGCUCAACCUGGGAAUGGCAGUGGAUACUGGGUCACUAGAGUGUGGUAGAGGAUGGUGGAAUUCCCGGUGUAGCGGUGAAAUGCGUAGAGAUCGGGAGGAACAUCAGUGGCGAAGGCGGCCAUCUGGGACAACACUGACGCUGAGGCACGAAAGCGUGUGGAGCAAACAGGAUUAGAUACCCCCGUAGUCCCUGUCUCUUAUAC
This 301-nucleotide ribosomal RNA is filed under the name uncultured bacterium. RNAcentral's name for it is "partial 16S ribosomal RNA". It matches the Rfam family "Bacterial small subunit ribosomal RNA", at positions 509 to 807 of the family's 1533-position model. The record is from RNAcentral.